RNAcentral lists this ribosomal RNA (252 nucleotides) under uncultured bacterium. Its description in RNAcentral is "partial 16S ribosomal RNA". It matches the Rfam family "Bacterial small subunit ribosomal RNA", at positions 524 to 776 of the family's 1533-position model. The record is from RNAcentral.
UACGUAGGGGGCAAGCGUUGUCCGGAUUCAUUGGGCGUAAAGAGCGUGUAGGCGGCCAGGUAGGUCGGUUGUGAAAACUGGAGGCUCAACCUUCAGAGGUCGACCGAAACCAUCUGGCUAGAGUCCGGGAGAGGAGAGUGGAAUUCCUGGUGUAGCGGUGAAAUGCGCAGAUAUCAGGAAGAACACCCGUGGCGAAAGCGGCUCCCUGGAACGGUACUGACGCUGAGACGCGAAAGCGUGGGGGCGAACAGG